RNAcentral lists this transfer RNA (70 nucleotides) under marine eukaryotic metagenome. It matches the Rfam family "tRNA". From Rfam's summary of the family: Transfer RNA (tRNA) molecules are approximately 80 nucleotides in length. The record is from RNAcentral.
GCGUUUAGCUCAGUUGGCUAGAGCACCUCCCUUACAAGGAGGGGGUCGGGGGUUCGAAUCCCUCAACGCC